UGUACCUGUCUGUUUCUCUACCUGUCUGUCUCUCUACCCGUCUGUCUCUCUACCCGUCUGUCUCUCUACCGUCUGUCUCUACCUGUCUGUCUCUCUACCUGUCUGUCUCUCUACCUGUCUGUCUCUCUACCCGUCUCUCUCUCCACACUUAGCAUUAGUUUCUUUCCAUUGUUUGUUUACAAAGACCAAAUGUUGUUGUUGUUGUUGUUGUUUUUCAGCAUCUGUUGUACAGAACGCUUUCAUUCCAUAAAGAAUAAAAUCCACUGCCUUGCUCAAAGCUCCAGGUUUGGCCCUUGAGUCUCGACUGCAUGAAGAGGACACACAAAGGUCAAAGGUCAACUCUCACUUUGAGCCGGCCCUGAAACAGAAACUAUCAGUUAUAUAAUACUUUACUACAGGUACUUCUAGUAAAGUACUUUACUACAGUACUACAGGUACUUCUAGUAGUACUUUACUACAGGUACUUCUAGUAUUACUUUACUACAGUACUACAGGUACUUCUAGUAGUACUUUACUACAGUACUACAGGUACUUCUAGUAGUACUUUACUACAGUACUACAGGUACUUCUGUAAUGAUCACAUGGUUUGGCCUGUGUGUACGGCACCGGGAAAGGGUAAACUUUUUACUCGUUUAUUUUUCUUUAUGUAUAUGUGCCGUACCAGUGUUUUUAUCAGGGGCCUCAAGUGAGCUUGGGUUUAGUUAGGAUAAUGUGUUUUGUAUUAUAAUUGUAAUUAUUAUUAUUGUUGUGUCACGGUCUAUAAAAGGUGACGUGGGGGUUUUUUGUUUGGAGCGCGCUGACAGGCUCCGGUGUUGAGCGGCUCAGGACGGCAGCAAUCCGGCGACUACUUCGAUUGUGGAUUUAUGCCAACGGGCGGGAUCUGUACUGAGAAGACUGCGCAGGAACACUGAACGGGGCCAGCCCGACCGGACUAGGGUGACGCAGCGCGGGGAGUGAACGCGGCGCCUCGCCACGUCUCCGCCUGUUCGGGCCGCUGUUCGCCGGCUCUUUGGGGGGAGGGGGGGGGGGGUUUGUGCGCGUGCAGUCGUUUACUUUUGUUUUGCGGAACUGAAAGACUUUGGGGACUGUCGGGAUCCGGGGAUUAUACUUUGUUUUGAGUGGGUUUGAUUGUUUGCAGUGUGUGUUCAUUUUGGAAGCUUGCUGAUGCAUUGAAUUUUAUUUAAUAUAAUAAUAUUUGAGUUUA
Molecule: long non-coding RNA, 1204 nt
Organism: Pseudoliparis swirei
Lineage: Eukaryota; Metazoa; Chordata; Actinopteri; Perciformes; Liparidae
Exons: 2
Source: RefSeq, a predicted model, not a curated record